GCUCCAGUGGCGCAAUUGGUUAGCGCACGGUACUUAUAAUCAGUAUUUGUGCUUGAGUAAUGCCGGGGUUGUGAGUUCGAGCCUCACCUGGAGCA
Molecule: transfer RNA, 95 nt
Filed under: Orchesella cincta
Lineage: Eukaryota; Metazoa; Arthropoda; Collembola; Entomobryomorpha; Orchesellidae
Also listed under: 1 other name
Rfam family: tRNA
About the family: Transfer RNA (tRNA) molecules are approximately 80 nucleotides in length. Their secondary structure includes four short double-helical elements and three loops (D, anti-codon, and T loops).
Source: Rfam by way of RNAcentral